AAGGAUUCGGUGGAAACAUCGAGCCAACUUUACUAAGGAAGCUCCUAGUCUAAAAGUCUACCUUUUUGAUUAGAUCUCAAAUCAGGCAGGAUUACCCGCUGAACUUAAGCAUAUCAAUAAGCGGAGGAAAAGAAACUAACAAGGAUUCCCCUAGUAGCGGCGAGCGAAGCGGGAAAAGCUCAAAUUUGUAAUCUGGCGCCUUCGGCGUCCGAGUUGUAAUCUCGAGAAGUGUUUUCCGUGAUAGACCGCAUACAAGUCUCUUGGAACAGAGCGUCAUAGUGGUGAGAACCCAGUACACGAUGCGGAUGCCUAUUACUUUGUGAUACACUUUCGAAGAGUCGAGUUGUUUGGGAAUGCAGCUCAAAUUGGGUGGUAAAUUCCAUCUAAAGCUAAAUAUUGGCGAGAGACCGAUAGCGAACAAGUACCGUGAGGGAAAGAUGAAAAGCACUUUGGAAAGAGAGUUAACAGUACGUGAAAUUGUUGGAAGGGAAACACAUGCAGUGAUACUUGCUAUUCGGGGCAACUCGAUUGGCAGGCCCGCAUCAGUUUUCCGGGGUGGAAAAGCACAGAGAGAAGGUAGCAGUUUCGGCUGUGUUAUAGCUCUUUGUUGGAUUCACCCUGGGGGAUUGAGGAACGCAGCGUGCUUUUUGCAUGAGCUUCGGCUUAUCCACGCUUAGGAUGCGGGUUUAUGGCUGUAUAUGACCCGUCUUGAAACACGGACCAAGGAGUCUAACAUGCUUGCGAGUAUUUGGGUGUCAAACUCGGAUGCGCAAUGAAAGUGAAUGGAGGUGGGAAGCGCAA
Molecule: ribosomal RNA, 801 nt
Filed under: Sporobolomyces japonicus
Lineage: Eukaryota; Fungi; Basidiomycota; Microbotryomycetes; Sporidiobolales; Sporidiobolaceae
Description: LSU rRNA
Rfam family: Eukaryotic large subunit ribosomal RNA
Source: RNAcentral